Molecule: long non-coding RNA, 1218 nt
Filed under: Taeniopygia guttata (zebra finch)
Lineage: Eukaryota; Metazoa; Chordata; Aves; Passeriformes; Estrildidae
Description: lncRNA (ENSTGUG00000021197.1)
Source: RNAcentral
AGCCCUGGCUGGGGUAAAUGGGCCCUGAGGGGGCCAAUGGGGUCCUGGAAGGAUAAAUGGGGGCCCUGAGGGGUUCAGUGGGGUCCUGAAAGGAUGAAUGGGGGUAAAUCAGGGUCCUGGCAGGGGAAAUCAGAGCCCAGAGGGGUCAAUGGGCUCCUGGCAGUUAAAUGGAGCCCUGGAGGAUGGAUCCGGGCCUCAAGGAAUUAAACCCAACCUGGAAAAGGGUCCCUGAGGUCCUUGCAGGGCCAGUUCUGCCCCUCGGGGGAGGAUCAGGGUGUGGGUCCCUCCCUCCUCCAAGAGCCUCAAUGCCCUCAGAGCUCUGGCCACAGCUUCUGGAUGGAGACAGGGAUGGAGCACAAGGUGUCCCCCCCUGCCCUCCCCCCUGAGGUGGACACAGCGGUGGCCGCGCGGCGCAGGGCCCUGGUGGCCCUGGUGGCCUUGGCCGAGGCCUUGGGGACACCGGACAGUGUCCCCGCUGCGCUGGCCGAGGCCGAGGCUGCCCUGGGCCAGGCCCAGGAGGCUCAGAGGGGGCUGGAGAGGGCCCAGGAGGCUGCGGUGGCCCCGGCGGUGGCCCUGGGAACCCUGGGGGACGAGGACGAGCAGUGGCUGCGGCAGCUCGGGGCCGUGGCCAAGGCAGCGGCGGCGGCGCUGGAGCGCGAGGAGAGACGGGCACGGCGGUGCCAGCGCUGGCUGCGGGCUGGGCACGGGCUGGCCGUGGGGCUGAUGGUGCUGUGUGGGGCCGUGUUGUCCCUGGACUCGGCCCGCGCCGCCCUGGGGGUGAGCGAGGACAGCCACCUGCUGCUGGCCCUGGCCGCGGUGGCCGUGUCCUGCGAGGUGGCCUGGCGGGGUCUGGGGACAUCACGGCGUCACCUGGCCACCGCCGCGAGCCACCAGCGGGACAUGGCCCUGCGCCUGCGGGACCGUGCCCGGCGGGUGGCAGCCGCCAGGGCCAGCGCCGAGGCCGCCGCAGCCACCAACAAGGCCACUGCAGAUGUGCUGGGGCGGCUGGAGGAGGUGACACAGGCACUGGGGACGUUGGUGACGGCUGUCACCCAGGACAGGGAGGUGACACCUUGGGGGACACAGGGACAGGGCUUCCCCAGAGCUGCCCGGGCACUUGGGGACAUCCUAGUGGGCUUGGGGACAUUUCGUGAGGGGCACGAGGAGGUGACGCCGAGGCUGGAGGCGGCCCAGAGAGCGCUGGUGGGGCAGGGAUAG